CAGCACUACAAACAUCUGCGCCCUUAAAGAGGCACGGAGGCUGAGUUCAUAUGGGAGCUACGGCAUGCCGGGUAGCCGGUUACAGGUGGAAUGGUUGCUGAGUGUCCUUGAUGUGCUGUGUGUUGGGAGGCGCAUGCGUGUGCCCUGUGAUGCACAUGGGCAGCAGUCAGUCACGUGUGCAGUGGGUGGAAGAGUGUGUACUUGAGUAUGGGCUAGCCUUGUGUGGGGCUUGUCCGUGGGGUUUGCAGGUGUUCGUAAAGAGGGUGUCUGUGUGCUAUGUAUUUGAGGGUGUGAUGUAUGAAUGUGAGGUGUGUGCAGUGGGGUCAGGAGAAAAGGUGUAUCCCUGUGUAUGUAUGGGUGUGCCCUGCAAGCCAGGGAGAAUCAUUUUUUGGUUAAACAAAUGAGGGACAGAUAUUGGGAAGAGACAGAUAACCUGUGCAUAUGAAGGGGAGAGAGAGAGAGAGAGAGAGAGAGAGAGAGAGAACCCCUGACUGGCCAUGCCUAUACGGAGGGCAUGGCUGCUUUUCACCUGCCCAGAGAAGCAUGGCUGGGAUCUCAAGUCACCCUUUCCAGAUUGUCGGAUAGAAUUUCCAUUCGCAUAUGGCUGUGUAAUUUCCACGGCGAGAGUGUGCUCUCUCCCUGUGACUAUCUCACUCUGCUCCUAACCCUAUUACAUACUCAAAUUGAAUUUUAUUUU
Acinonyx jubatus (cheetah) is the source of this 697-nucleotide long non-coding RNA. RefSeq lists it as uncharacterized. The record is from RefSeq and is a predicted model, not a curated record. The transcript is spliced from 2 exons. Lineage: Eukaryota; Metazoa; Chordata; Mammalia; Carnivora; Felidae.